UACGGAGGGUGCAAGCGUUAAUCGGAAUCACUGGGCGUAAAGCGCGCGUAGGCGGCCUUGCAAGUCAGGCGUGAAAGCCCUCGGCUCAACCGAGGAACUGCGCUUGAAACUGCUUGGCUUGAGUUCGGGAGAGGGUGGCGGAAUUCCGGGUGUAGGAGUGAAAUCCGUAGAUAUCCGGAGGAACACCGGUGGCGAAGGCGGCCACCUGGACCGAUACUGACGCUGAGGUGCGAAAGCGUGGGGAGCAAACAGG
This 253-nucleotide ribosomal RNA is filed under the name uncultured bacterium. RNAcentral describes it as "partial 16S ribosomal RNA". It matches the Rfam family "Bacterial small subunit ribosomal RNA", at positions 524 to 776 of the family's 1533-position model. The record is from RNAcentral.